CAUUUAAAUUUAUUUUUAUUCAUUUAUAAGUCAGUAUUUUAUCAAAAAGAUUACAUAUAUUAUAAUUAUAUAACUCCAUGACUGUUUAGGACAAAUUGGAGGACAUGUACUUCCGACUAUAAACGGUCUUACAUUUGAAGGAAAUGUUUAUGCAAAGGAUUAGUUUGGAAAGUCAAUACCUUUUGAAUACUCCAAAGUUUAUAACCAUGGAGACACAGAAUGGAGAAUCAGGGUAUGUGGAGAUCUUGCAGAAGUCCCAGCGUCCCUUCAAUCCGCUUGUUGUCAUUGAAUUCACAGCAGGUGUAAAACAGGCAGCCAUUGAAUGGAUUGUGGCUAAAAUUCAGAAGUCGAAGGCCGCAGGGGGCGCAGAGCUGGACGUCAAUGCCGUGGUCAUGCACCAUAAACAGGGUAUCACUGUUGAUCCCAACCGGAAAGGGGAAACAGUUCUGUAUGUAGGGGGCAGCACAGAGCGGUUGCUAUGGGCAGCAGACAUGAUGGAUAUUAAGAAGGAAUACCGUGAUGGUUACCAUCAUGAGUUUUCUGUCGAUGAUGUCACCAAUUUCAGAGGAUCAAAGGACCUAGACAGCUUCUUAACAAUGGCUGAGAAGCAGAAAAUUAUACUCCAUGAACUAGAGGCGGUCAGGGCCACAGAAGAUGACACUGCUAUAGCAGGCUAUGAGAGGUUCAGACUGUUGUCUGGAAACAGCAUCAUAAAGAAAUAUGUGAGUAAUGGAAUCAUUGCCAAGAUGUACCCACUUCACGAUGAAGAGGAGAUCAAACGUCUCGGAGCAGAGUGGUACCAGCUGAAGAAGUUCGCGAACGAACAGCCGAUUUACCAAAUCCGUGAUUAUUUUGGUGAGAAAAUCGGCAUGUACUUUGCUUUCCUGGGCUUCUAUACAGUAGCCCUCAUCCCGCCUGCCUUCAUAGGGAUUCUUUAUCUGGUCACGUCAUGGAAAAGCAUGUACCGGGAGGCCAUCUUUGCUGUCUUCAAUCUCAUCUGGGCUACAAUUUUCCUGGAGGCAUGGAAACGUUACUGCUCUGAGUUGUCGUUCAAGUGGGGACAGGCUCAGGACGUGGAACUUAACCGAUCACAAGAGCCACGAGCAAUGUAUCAUGGCACCAUGGAUAAAAACCCUGUGACAGGCAAGCCAGAGCCACGCUAUCCAAAGUACAAACGGUCGCUGAGGUUCUACGGAGUUACAGUUCCUGUUGUUGGAUUCUGUCUCAUGGUGGCGUUCUAUCUCAUGUUGGGAUAUUUUUAUUUACAGGCAUGGGCUGAUGAGGUGUACGCCAAGGACAAGACGUGGCUGAACAUGACUUUAAUCUACAUGCCCACCGCUAUUUACGCAGUCAUCAUUGGCAUUGUCAACAAUUUCUACAGGAAGAUCGCCAAAAUACUCAAUGAUUUCGAAAACCAUCGACUCCAGUCUUCCUACGAUAAUCAUCUGAUCGUCAAACUCAUUCUGUUUGAUUUUGUCAACUGUUUCAUCUCACUGUUUUAUGUGGCAUUCUACCUUCAAGACAUGACACUCCUCCGCAGUCACCUGGCAGCCCUCCUGGUGACCCAGCAGGUGAUUGGCCAGGUGAGAGAAGCAAUGGUCCCGUUCAUCUUCGUCCGCCGUAGGAAACAGCAGGUGGAUAAGGUGAUGCAAAAGGAAGCAGCCAUACAAAAGGUGGAAUACUUCAACGGGGAGAUGGACCAGACUAUACAGAAACAGGUCAACCUGGAAUCGACGAUGGACGAGUACGAGGGCACAAUGGACGAUUAUCUGGAAAUGUUCCUCCAGUUUGGCUACGUUUUCCUGUUCUCCUCCGCCUUUCCUCUGGCUGCUUUCUGGGCUCUGCUCAACAACGUCACCGAGAUCAGAUCUGAUGCAUUCAAGAUGUGUCGAGUGUUCCAGAGGCCGUUUGCUGAAUCAGCAUCAAACAUUGGAGCGUGGCAGGUUGCCUUUGAGGUUAUCAGUGUCAUUGCUGUGAUCACCAACUGUGCCUUGAUAGGAAUGGAUCCGGAGGUGAAGAAACUGCUACCUUCAGACAUCAGUGCUGUAAACAUUGUCAUCAUCUUUGUUGCUGUCGAGCAUGUGAUCUUGGCUGUGAAGGGAGCGGUGGCCUAUUGUAUCCCCGAUACACCCAAAUGGGUAGAAAUUGAACUGGAGAAAAUGGCUUUCCAGUCCAAACAGGCUCUACAUGCUGAGUUUGGGGCACGGCUGUGAUGGUCAUUGUUACAAUUCAAACUUGUAAUAUCAAUGGCACAGAAACUUUUUAAAGAUGAGAAUGGCUGCUGCAUCAAGUCAACAGAAGAAGCUAGGAGAUUUGCUCAAGCUGGAAACCAGAGAAACGUCCAUUUAAGUUUUAAAC
This 2358-nucleotide unclassified non-coding RNA is filed under the name Mizuhopecten yessoensis (Yesso scallop). Its description in RNAcentral is "anoctamin-10-like, transcript variant X5". Lineage: Eukaryota; Metazoa; Mollusca; Bivalvia; Pectinida; Pectinidae. The record is from RNAcentral.